AGCGAACGCUGGCGGCAGGCCUAACACAUGCAAGUCGAACGAACCUUUCGGGGUUAGUGGCGGACGGGUGCGUAACACGUGGGAACGUGCCCUUAGGUUCGGAAUAACUCAGGGAAACUUGUGCUAAUACCGAAUGUGCUCUUCGGGGGAAAGAUUAAUCGCCUUUAGAGCGGCCCGCGUCUGAUUAGCUAGUUGGUUGAGGUAAUGGCUCACCAAGGCGACGAUCAUUAGCUGGUCUGAGAGGAUGAUCAGCCACAUUGGGACUGAGACACGGCCCAAACUCCUACGGGAGGCAGCAGUGGGGAAUCUUGCGCAAUGGGCGAAAGCCUGACGCAGCCAUGCCGCGUGAAUGAUGAAGGUCUUAGGAUUGUAAAGUUCUUUUACCGGGGACGAUAAUGACGGUACCCGGAGAAGAAGCUCCGGCUAACUCCGUG
Molecule: ribosomal RNA, 434 nt
Filed under: uncultured bacterium
Lineage: Bacteria
Description: partial 16S ribosomal RNA
Rfam family: Bacterial small subunit ribosomal RNA
Source: RNAcentral